RNAcentral lists this ribosomal RNA (830 nucleotides) under Coniella pseudodiospyri. RNAcentral describes it as "partial 28S ribosomal RNA". It matches the Rfam family "Eukaryotic large subunit ribosomal RNA", at positions 93 to 952 of the family's 3401-position model. Lineage: Eukaryota; Fungi; Ascomycota; Sordariomycetes; Diaporthales; Schizoparmaceae. The record is from RNAcentral.
GUGAAGCGGCAACAGCUCAAAUUUGAAAUCUGGCUUCGGCCCGAGUUGUAAUUUGCAGAGGAUGUUUCUGGCGCGGUGCCUUCCGAGUUCCCUGGAACGGGACGCCACAGAGGGUGAGAGCCCCGUAUGGUUGGACACCAAGCCUGUGUGAAACUCCUUCAACGAGUCGAGUAGUUUGGGAAUGCUGCUCAAAAUGGGAGGUAAAUCUCUUCUAAAGCUAAAUACUGGCCAGAGACCGAUAGCGCACAAGUAGAGUGAUCGAAAGAUGAAAAGCACCUUGAAAAGGGGGUUAAACAGUACGUGAAAUUGUUGAAAGGGAAGCGCUCAUGACCAGACUUGUGCUGGGCAGCUCAUCCGGGGUUCUCCCCGGUGCACUCUGCCCAGUUCAGGCCAGCAUCGAUUUUUGCUGGGGGAUAAGAACAGUAGGAACGUGGCCCUCCUUCGGGCGGGUGUUAUAGCCUACUGUACGAUACCCUGGCGGAGAUCGAGGUUCGCGCAUCUGCAAGGAUGCUGGCGUAAUGGUCAUCAGCGACCCGUCUUGAAACACGGACCAAGGAGUCGUCCAUUAGAGCGAGCGUUUGGGUGUAAAACCCGCACGCGUAAUGAAAGUGAAAUUAGGUGAGAGCUUCGGCGCAUCAUCGACCGAUCCUGAUGUUUUCAGAUGGAUUUGAGUAAGAGUUUUAACGGACGGACCCGAAAGACAGUGAACUAUGCUUGUAUAGGGUGAAGCCAGAGGAAACUCUGGUGGAGGCUCGCAGCGGUUCUGACGUGCAAAUCGAUCGUCAAAUAUGAGCAUGGGGGCGAAAGACUAAUCGAACUGUCUAGUAGCU